CUCCUACUCUGAUUGAACAGUUGGAUGAUCAGACUGAUGAUGAAAAGUGCUACACAGUUCUCACACAUCUUCUACCUCCGAAGCCGCUGCAGUGUAAAAUCUGAGAUGUCUUUUCUGGUUGAUUUUGUGCAGAUUUCUGACAGCGACAGCGAUGGUGAGGGAAGCAGUGUACCGAACUCUCAGAUGACUCGGACCAGGUGACCAAACCCAUGCAAAACACAAUGACUGUGCUGAGGCGUUCCGCCCCCCUCCCCCUCCACACCACUCAAGGCACGGCGGCGGCCCAACCGCAAACUAACGGAGAUUAACAAGAGGCUGGAUGCUGCGUCCAUCACCAGAGGGGCCGGGAUUGCUGCGGCAGCUAGCCAAUUAAAGGAGGAGGAUGAAGGAGAGGAGUCUGACGAUGCAGACAUCGCCAUCGUAUGCAGGCCACGCCCUCGCAGGAAAACCAGCCAAUGAAAACGCUCGCAGCAGCAUCAGCAGAACACACCGGCACGACUGGUAAACUUAAAGAUACGCCACAGACCAGACAUACACCAAAUACAACUAGCACAGACAGAGCUUCUGAAGCAUGCAGUGGAAGAGCUGUCAGUCAAGCUAAAGGUCCCGCCCUCCAACCUGCUGCUGCUGCACGGAGAGGCGGAACUUAACACCUCACACACUAUUGGCCAGCUAGGACUCUGCAUCGCUGACAUCAUUGUCUGGAACCAACUUCACAUCCCUCUUCACUGCACUACUGACACUGAGAUGGAAUCCACAACCCAACCACUAGUGGUCUGCAUUGGGAACCUUAAGAGUCUGUCAUCACCGCCAGGAAUGACCGCGUGACCAUUCCCGUUGCAGACGGCCUGACUUGCACAAUUGACAAGCUGUUCAAGCUUUACUGGGUCUGCAACUUGUCAUAUCCAGCACAGCUCAGCUCUGUUUUCACCUUCUUUGAAUAUGUUUAUGACGUUCCAUCUCAACCAACAAACGACCAAAGGUACUAGAACUUCUCUCAAAGCUUCCCAGCAACCCAGUGAUCACUCAACAUGUGUUUAUGCCCAAAAUGUAAAUAGUUACUACAGACCUCAAGAAAGUAGUUUGGCAUCUUUGUCAAGUACACGCUUUGUCAGAUGCACAGGGCAUGACGAUAAUUUGCAGCCAAGAUGGCUGUUCAAGUGUACAAGGACUUACUACGUAGACACCACCAGUCCACAACAACAGA
Engraulis encrasicolus (European anchovy) is the source of this 1207-nucleotide long non-coding RNA. RefSeq lists it as uncharacterized. NCBI's taxonomy places the organism in Eukaryota, Metazoa, Chordata, Actinopteri, Clupeiformes, Engraulidae. The record is from RefSeq and is a predicted model, not a curated record. The transcript is spliced from 7 exons.